UCACAUUAGUUGGAGGGAAUUCGCGUUCGGUGCACCGGACGAGUGAAUCCGCGAAUCAGAGUCCUCCACGUCAACCAGGAGAAGGAACGCGUACCGUUAACGUUCCAAGCCCCGUUAAUCGGAUUUGGCGGUUCAACCAGCCGCAAAAUGACAAAAUGGAGAUCAAAACCCUUGACAAACCUUUUUUUGACUUUUCCCUCUGUAUUUUUCCCCAGGAGACCGAACCCUACCCAUACUGUGACUCGAACCAAUGGCCGUCGGCGGUUACUGCGAGAGCUUUAAUGAUCUCUUCAUGGUCGGGCUCGAGUUUGGGUUUUGCCAUAUACCGACACUGAAUCUAUAUAACUGAAGUUCUUUGAGUUAAAGUCUCUAAUAAAUAGUUUGAUCACUUGGUGGUUAGAGAUAAUAGAAAAUUUUGAAAGAUUCAAGAUGAUUGAACAUGGAAAAUACCCUAAUUUUAGACUAUGCAAAGGAGAAUCGGAAGAGCAAUUAAACCCGUGUUAGCGAGUACGAGUGUAGGACAUGGUGUUGUUGCCUAUGAAUAAAUUGGUUUUUGGAACUAAGUGGGAAGAUUCAAAAAGAGAUGUAUUGGUGGUGGAUUCGAAUUCAUCCCAACGCCGCCCUCUGAUGCUUUAUCAUAUCAGAAUUUGAAGAAUAGAACCGAAGAAUUAUCAAUGGACGAGGCAAAAAAUGGGCCAAAGGGGUGUGAACUGUGAACUGUGAACUGUGAAGAACUGGAGAGCUUCGGUGAAUAUUGAAUAGAGAUAAUCAGGAUAUCACCGUACCAAAUCAAAUACUUGCUUUGGUAUUUGAUUUGAGGUGAGAAAGAGACGCCGACAUGGAUGCAUGGUCAGGGUCUCAGGGAGGAGUCUAGAUCAGAUCCUCACAAAGGAACACUCUAUGAGGGACAGGGAGAGUAUCAUUUGAGUCUGAACUCCGAAUUGCGCACAACAAAAACCGUCAGAGCUCUCCUUGUCGCCGCCGAUGGCUGCCAGAGCAUAUAGGGGAAAAGCAAACAGGGUUUACUGCAUCGGCCACUUGAAAAGUUCGGUGGAAGGAGGAAAGCUUCAGGGAAAAUCACUAAAAAAUUUUACAGUAUGAAUUUGGCUUCGGUUUGUAUCCGGUUGGACUGUCAAAUCCAAAUUAACGCACGUUUAACUA
Molecule: non-coding RNA, 1161 nt
Organism: Nelumbo nucifera (sacred lotus)
Lineage: Eukaryota; Viridiplantae; Streptophyta; Magnoliopsida; Proteales; Nelumbonaceae
Source: RefSeq, a predicted model, not a curated record